Panicum hallii is the source of this 653-nucleotide long non-coding RNA. RefSeq lists it as uncharacterized. The record is from RefSeq and is a predicted model, not a curated record. The transcript is spliced from 3 exons. NCBI's taxonomy places the organism in Eukaryota, Viridiplantae, Streptophyta, Magnoliopsida, Poales, Poaceae.
CGGCGCGGCGUUCCAGCACCACCGUGCUCAAUGCUCAUCCCAGGCGUGGACGCCGGCGGGCCCUGGCGAGCUCCUCCGCGCUCCUUCGCGCUCCUUUUUAUUUCUAAAAUACUCCUAAAAUCCUGCUUCCAUAAAAGAAGAUCAGGUGGCGCCCCUCCCCUGCGCCCAUCCCUUCCAACGCACGGCGGCAUGGUCAGAGCUUCCCCUGCAGGAAUCUUCAUCAGCGCCUCCUUCCCUGCCACCGGAUACAUGGCGACAGCAGGGGUGGCCGUGAAUAGCCCCUUUCCCCAGAUCCACCAGGACAGCGGUAGCCCUUGGAGGCAUGGCGUGUUCAUCCAUGCGUCGUCCCUCGAGGUCGGGCCCUGCGGUGGUGGCCUUUUCCCCUCCAGCACAGCGACGUCAUCGCUGGCCCUCAGCCCCUGCCCACGGUGAAAUCAAGAUGCGAUGGACAUCAACGACGAAAUCUAGGGCUCUAUCCUUGCACGACUGAGGAUUCGCAGAGAUGAAGGAAAUCACAUCAGCCAUGUAGGUGACCAUGAUACGCCACUCUUGUGGAUCAGGAGUGGUGAGUGAUGACCUCCAUUGCGCCUCUCUUACGUGUUUUUUGAUUGCUAAUCAAUUUCUCUAGUUGUGAACUGGAAGUGCUAAUCAGA